GGUUAAGCGACUAAGCGUACACGGUGGAUGCCCUGGCAGUCAGAGGCGAUGAAGGGCGUGCUAAUCUGCGAUAAGCGCCGGUAAGGUGAUAUGAACCGUUAUAACCGGCGAUACCCGAAUGGGGAAACCCAGUGUGACUCGUCACACUAUCAUUAACUGAAUCCAUAGGUUAAUGAGGCGAACCGGGGGAACUGAAACAUCUAAGUACCCCGAGGAAAAGAAAUCAACCGAGAUUCCCCCAGUAGCGGCGAGCGAACGGGGAGGAGCCCAGAGCCUGAAUCAGCAUGUGUGUUAGUGGAAGCGUCUGGAAAGGCGCGCGAUACAGGGUGACAGCCCCGUACACAAAAGCGCAUGUGCUGUGAGCUCGAUGAGUAGGGCGGGACACGUGGUAUCCUGUCUGAAUAUGGGGGGACCAUCCUCCAAGGCUAAAUACUCCUGACUGACCGAUAGUGAACCAGUACCGUGAGGGAAAGGCGAAAAGAACCCCGGCGAGGGGAGUGAAAAAGAACCUGAAACCGUGUACGUACAAGCAGUGGGAGCCCCACCACUAAGCCAGUGGUGAACUCCACAUACGCAUCCUUUGCUGAGGAUACGGUUAACGGAGCGAAAGCGACGUUCAACCGCAAAAGAAGCAGAGGGGGCUUAGUGGUGGGGUGACUGCGUACCUUUUGUAUAAUGGGUCAGCGACUUAUAUUCUGUAGCAAGGUUAACCGCAUAGGGGAGCCGGAGGGAAACCGAGUCUUAACCGGGCGUUAAGUUGCAGGGUAUAGACCCGAAACCCGGUGAUCUAGCCAUGGGCAGGUUGAAGGUUGGGUAACACUAACUGGAGGACCGAACCGACUAAUGUUGAAAAAUUAGCGGAUGACCUGUGGCUGGGGGUGAAAGGCCAAUCAAACCGGGAGAUAGCUGGUUCUCCCCGAAAGCUAUUUAGGUAGCGCCUCGUGAAUUCAUCUCCGGGGGUAGAGCACUGUUUCGGCUAGGGGGCCAUCCCGGCUUACCAACCCGAUGCAAACUGCGAAUACCGGAGAAUGUUAUCACGGGAGACACACGGCGGGUGCUAACGUCCGUCGUGAAGAGGGAAACAACCCAGACCGCCAGCUAAGGUCCCAAAGUCAUGGUUAAGUGGGAAACGAUGUGGGAAGGCCCAGACAGCCAGGAUGUUGGCUUAGAAGCAGCCAUCAUUUAAAGAAAGCGUAAUAGCUCACUGGUCGAGUCGGCCUGCGCGGAAGAUGUAACGGGGCUAAACCAUGCACCGAAGCUGCGGCAGCGACACUAUGUGUUGUUGGGUAGGGGAGCGUUCUGUAAGCCUGUGAAGGUGGCCUGUGAGGGUUGCUGGAGGUAUCAGAAGUGCGAAUGCUGACAUAAGUAACGAUAAAGCGGGUGAAAAGCCCGCUCGCCGGAAGACCAAGGGUUCCUGUCCAACGUUAAUCGGGGCAGGGUGAGUCGACCCCUAAGGCGAGGCCGAAAGGCGUAGUCGAUGGGAAACGGGUUAAUAUUCCCGUACUUGGUGUUACUGCGAAGGGGGGACGGAGAAGGCUAUGUUGGCCGGGCGACGGUUGUCCCGGUUUAAGCGUGUAGGUGUGUGUUCCAGGUAAAUCCGGUUCACUUUAACACUGAGGCGUGACGACGAGGCACUACGGUGCUGAAGCAACAAAUGCCCUGCUUCCAGGAAAAGCCUCUAAGCAUCAGGUAACACGAAAUCGUACCCCAAACCGACACAGGUGGUCAGGUAGAGAAUACCAAGGCGCUUGAGAGAACUCGGGUGAAGGAACUAGGCAAAAUGGUGCCGUAACUUCGGGAGAAGGCACGCUGACACGUAGGUGAAGUGAUUUACUCAUGGAGCUGAAGUCAGUCGAAGAUACCAGCUGGCUGCAACUGUUUAUUAAAAACACAGCACUGUGCAAACACGAAAGUGGACGUAUACGGUGUGACGCCUGCCCGGUGCCGGAAGGUUAAUUGAUGGGGUCAGCGCAAGCGAAGCUCCUGAUCGAAGCCCCGGUAAACGGCGGCCGUAACUAUAACGGUCCUAAGGUAGCGAAAUUCCUUGUCGGGUAAGUUCCGACCUGCACGAAUGGCGUAAUGAUGGCCAGGCUGUCUCCACCCGAGACUCAGUGAAAUUGAACUCGCUGUGAAGAUGCAGUGUACCCGCGGCAAGACGGAAAGACCCCGUGAACCUUUACUAUAGCUUGACACUGAACAUUGAGCCUUGAUGUGUAGGAUAGGUGGGAGGCUUUGAAGUGUGGACGCCAGUCUGCAUGGAGCCGACCUUGAAAUACCACCCUUUGAUGUUUGAUGUUCUAACGUGGACCCGUGAUCCGGGUUGCGGACAGUGUCUGGUGGGUAGUUUGACUGGGGCGGUCUCCUCCUAAAGAGUAACGGAGGAGCACGAAGGUUGGCUAAUCCUGGUCGGACAUCAGGAGGUUAGUGCAAUGGCAUAAGCCAGCUUGACUGCGAGCGUGACGGCGCGAGCAGGUGCGAAAGCAGGUCAUAGUGAUCCGGUGGUUCUGAAUGGAAGGGCCAUCGCUCAACGGAUAAAAGGUACUCCGGGGAUAACAGGCUGAUACCGCCCAAGAGUUCAUAUCGACGGCGGUGUUUGGCACCUCGAUGUCGGCUCAUCACAUCCUGGGGCUGAAGUAGGUCCCAAGGGUAUGGCUGUUCGCCAUUUAAAGUGGUACGCGAGCUGGGUUUAGAACGUCGUGAGACAGUUCGGUCCCUAUCUGCCGUGGGCGCUGGAGAACUGAGGGGGGCUGCUCCUAGUACGAGAGGACCGGAGUGGACGCAUCACUGGUGUUCGGGUUGUCAUGCCAAUGGCACUGCCCGGUAGCUAAAUGCGGAAGAGAUAAGUGCUGAAAGCAUCUAAGCACGAAACUUGCCCCGAGAUGAGUUCUCCCUGAGACUUUAGGUCUCCUGAAGGAACGUUGAAGACGACGACGUUGAUAGGCCGGGUGUGUAAGCGCAGCGAUGCGUUGAGCUAACCGGUACUAAUGAACCGUGAGGCUUAACCUU
This 3006-nucleotide ribosomal RNA is filed under the name Salmonella enterica subsp. enterica serovar Minnesota. Its description in RNAcentral is "23S ribosomal RNA". It matches the Rfam family "Bacterial large subunit ribosomal RNA". Lineage: Bacteria; Pseudomonadati; Pseudomonadota; Gammaproteobacteria; Enterobacterales; Enterobacteriaceae. The record is from RNAcentral.